UUGGUUUUGCAAGAUCCCCUCUACACCACGCAAUGCAGCGGUUGGCAUAUUCUUGCAAAACGUCUAUAAGAGCGCACGGCUCCACUGCGGUAUAAUGUAUCCCAACCCGUUUGAUAGAAAACAUUCUACGAUACGCCAAGUUUUGGAUAGAUUUUUCAAAGACUCGAGCAGAGUUCGAAGGAAAAAUGUCUUGUCCAGGAAGGAUAGUAACACUUCGUCGUGUUCUACAACAUCUUCGAAUUCGGAAAGGAAGUUUUUCGGUUUCGGUGUGCGCAGUUGAACUCAGUGGUUGAUUUGAGUGUUGUUUGUAUGCAGUCUGCUAGUCACUGCUUGUUCUUCACUACUUGUUACUUUGGUAUGUGAAACGGCGAUUUGGACUGAAAAUAUAUAAAUAAAACCACUUAAAGGGCAAGAUAAUUAUGUAUACUCUAUGAAAAAUAAUUUCGUAUUGUGAUAAUUUUAGUAAAAUGUAAUAUAUUAUAAGGGAGAUGUACCUUUAUUUAAGUAGAAAUAAAUACUGUUUUUAAAGAAUAUUAUCAAAGAUUAUGUAAUUCUUAAUGGUACAACUUACAUGUAUAAAUAUAGAGAUUUAACGAAUAAAUUGGUUAUGAAAAUUAAAAAAGAGGUUUAUCUACACAACAAACAAAUUGGGAAUACAUAAUGUAGAUUAAAUUAAACAUAAACAAAUGAAUUUUAAAAUUUGAAUUUGUUGACUGUUGUACAGGGUAUAAUAAUGCAAAUAAAAUUCUUCACGAGGGAAAUCUCUGGCACAGAUUAUUAAAGUAUAUAUUCCAAUUAUGUUAUGUAAAUAUAAUAAUAACAACUAUUGUUAACGUACAAUAUUGUAUAGAUAUUUGAUUAAACUAAUGGUCCAUCCGUGAUCGAAAGCGACCUUCGAAUCAAACAAUUUAUAAAAAAUACAUACAUUUUACAUAUUCUGUAGUCUUAUACGUAUAUAAACAAUAAGUAUGCCAAAUUUCGCACUCCUCCGAGCGCGCAAUCUGCUUAAAAAUUAACUAAUUAAUAUAAGCAAAAAUUUUUUACAUUACACCUGAUCGAAUAAGUAUAAGUUUUGUUAGUUUCCUACAACCUUGAUGUUAAGAUAGCAGUACCAGCUUAUUUUAAACGGCUUGAGCUAAAAAAUCGUUAUUGUCGUAAAUAAUUUGGUACAAAUUAUAAAAUGUAUUUGUUUUAAUUCUAAGUUGCUACUGCUACCUUGAUAGAGCUUAGGUUAUGAACUACCAGAUAUUUUAAUACCACAAUGAAGUUAAUGGAUAGUGUCUAAAAUCUAAAAAGGUCAUGAUUUUGAAAAUAUGGUUUACAGAACAUAUAGUUAGAAAAUCGCCAAAGGCUUUAGAAGCCUUCACAUAAAGUGGCGUAAUUAUUAGAAACGUGAGUAUUCCGAACAAAAUUUUCCAGUUGUGGCAUUUUUAGCAUGUUUGUAUUUUUGUGUGAAAAAGAAUAAUUAAAUGGCAAUAAUUUAAGUGCUUGCAUUCAUAUAUUUAUUGUGAUUUUUCAUAAUUUACUAUGUAAUACCUUCAUCAUCAGGAAGAAAAACGAAACGUCAAUAAAAGAUAUUACAAUUUUGUUAGGGAAACCUGUCAGCUACUUCAAAUACAAGGACAGAGGCAUAAUAAAGAAGA
This 1643-nucleotide long non-coding RNA is filed under the name Manduca sexta (tobacco hornworm). RNAcentral describes it as "uncharacterized LOC115449092". Lineage: Eukaryota; Metazoa; Arthropoda; Insecta; Lepidoptera; Sphingidae. The record is from RNAcentral.